RNAcentral lists this ribosomal RNA (258 nucleotides) under Triticum aestivum (bread wheat). RNAcentral describes it as "partial small subunit ribosomal RNA". The record is from RNAcentral. Lineage: Eukaryota; Viridiplantae; Streptophyta; Magnoliopsida; Poales; Poaceae.
AUGCCGGGAGCCGGGGGUCAUUGGAAAAGUGAGAUGCCGACGUCACUCAAAACGAUCCUUGCAUGGGAGUUCAGGGGCAGAACUGAAGGUAGACUCGGGUGCAGUUAUCCACUCCUACUUGCUUUCACUAGAACAGCAUAUUACACUAUGAAAGCAAGAUCAUGCACUGGCAUCGGUUUUAUUACUCCACAGAUGUGGGUCAUCGGCCAUGACAAAAUAUGGGAUAACAAAUAUUAUGGAUACAAGAUGGCAACAUAA